AGUGAACGCUGGCGGUAGGCCUAACACAUGCAAGUCGAACGGCAGCACAGUAAGAGCUUGCUCUUACGGGUGGCGAGUGGCGGACGGGUGAGGAAUACAUCGGAAUCUACUUUUUCGUGGGGGAUAACGUAGGGAAACUUACGCUAAUACCGCAUACGACCUACGGGUGAAAGCAGGGGAUCUUCGUACCUUGCGCGAUUGAAUGAGCCGAUGUCGGAUUAGCUAGUUGGGUGGGUAAAGGCCCACCAAGGCGACGCUCCGUAGCUGGUCUGAGAGGAUGAGCAGACACACUGGAACUGAGACACGGUCCAGACUCCUACGGGAGGCAGCAGUGGGGAAUAUUGGACAAUGGGCGCAAGCCUGAUCCAGCCAUACCGCGUGGGUGAAGAAGGCCUUCGGGUUGUAAAGCCCUUUUGUUGGGAAAGAAAAGCAGCAGGUUAAUACCCCGCUGUUCUGACGGUACCCAAAGAAUAAGCACCGGCUAACUUCGUG
Molecule: ribosomal RNA, 492 nt
Filed under: uncultured bacterium
Lineage: Bacteria
Description: partial 16S ribosomal RNA
Rfam family: Bacterial small subunit ribosomal RNA
Source: RNAcentral